This 720-nucleotide ribosomal RNA is filed under the name uncultured bacterium. Its description in RNAcentral is "bacterial SSU rRNA". It matches the Rfam family "Bacterial small subunit ribosomal RNA", at positions 769 to 1500 of the family's 1533-position model. The record is from RNAcentral.
CGCCCUUAUUAGAUACCCUGGUAGUCCACGCAGUAAACGAUGAAUGCUAAUUGUCCGUUGCGAAUGAGCGAUGGGUGAUACAGCGAAAGCGUUAAGCAUUCCACCUGGGGAGUACGCCGGCAACGGUGAAACUCAAAGGAAUUGACGGGGGCCCGCACAAGCGGAGGAACAUGUGGUUUAAUUCGAUGAUACGCGAGGAACCUUACCCGGGCUCAAACGCCGUCUGACGUAGGCUGAAAGGCUUAUUUCUUCGGACAGACGGCGAGGUGCUGCAUGGUUGUCGUCAGCUCGUGCCGUGAGGUGUCGGCUUAAGUGCCAUAACGAGCGCAACCCCUGUCGACAGUUGCUAACAGGCUAGGCUGAGGACUCUGUCGAGACUGCCGGCGCAAGCUGUGAGGAAGGCGGGGAUGACGUCAAAUCAGCACGGCCCUUACGUCCGGGGCGACACACGUGUUACAAUGGCAGGUACAGCGGGAAGCCACCCGGCGACGGGGCGCGGAACCCGAAAACCUGUCUCAGUUCGGAUUGGAGUCUGCAACCCGACUCCAUGAAGCUGGAUUCGCUAGUAAUCGCGCAUCAGCCACGGCGCGGUGAAUACGUUCCCGGGCCUUGUACACACCGCCCGUCAAGCCAUGGAAGCCGGGGGUACCUGAAGUACGUGACCGCAAGGAGCGUCCUAAGGUAAAACCGGUGACUGGGGCUAAGUCGUAACAAGGUAAC